This 318-nucleotide ribosomal RNA is filed under the name uncultured eukaryote. RNAcentral describes it as "partial 18S ribosomal RNA". It matches the Rfam family "Eukaryotic small subunit ribosomal RNA", at positions 1470 to 1796 of the family's 1831-position model. The record is from RNAcentral.
CCCUUAGAUGUUCUGGGCCGCACGCGCGCUACACUGACGAAUGCAACGAGCUUAUAACCUUGGCCGAAAGGUCUGGGUAAUCUCCAAAUUUCGUCGUGAUGGGGAUAGAUUAUUGCAAUUAUUAAUCUUCAACGAGGAAUGCCUAGUAAGCGCAAGUCAUCAGCUUGCGUUGAUUACGUCCCUGCCCUUUGUACACACCGCCCGUCGCUCCUACCGAUUGGGUGCUCCGGUGAAUUGUUUGGACUGCUGUCAGUCUUUUCGGCUGUCGGCGAGAAGCUCUGUGAACCUUAGCACCUAGAGGAAGGAGAAGUCGUAACA